AGACGGCGGCCCAGCAGAGGAGCGGAAAGCAUGGUCCGGGGGGCGGCGGACGCCUGGUAGGCGCUCGGGCCGUUGUUGUGGGGCUGCGCGCUGGCGCUGCAGGGCGGGAUGCUGUACCCAAGAGAGAGGCCGUCGCGGGAGCGGAAGAAGCUGGACCGCCUCUGGAGCUUCCGCGCCGACUUCUUCGACAAACUGUGCCUUGGCUUCUAGGAGUAGUGGUAUCGGCGUCUGCUGCGAGAGUCGGGCUCCACCAUGGACAUACCGGUUCCCUCCAGCUUCAACGACGUUGGCCAGGACUGGCGGCUGCGGCAUUUUGUAGACCAGAUGUGGUACGAACGGGAGGUGACCUUCCUGGAGCAAUGGACCCAGGACCUGCACACAAGAGUGGUACUGAGGAUUGUCAGUGCCCACUCCUAUGCCAUCGUGUGGGUGAAUGGGGUCGACGCGCUAGAGCAUGAGGGAUCUACCUCCCCUUUGACACCGACAUCAGUAGCCUGUUCCAGGUGGGGCCCCUGCCCUCCCGCCUCCGCAUCACUAUCACCAUCGGCAACAUGCUCAUCUCCUCCACCCUGCCACCAGGGAGCAUCCUCGACAUGGCCGACACCUCCACGUGGGUACCAUCCUGCUUCCACCGCAGACACCCACCUUCCUGUCCCACCCCGUGGGGCAUUACAUUAGGGUAAUUACAUUAGUGUCAAGAUAUGCCAUAAUACUGAGAAUGGAGGAGUCUGAGGCCCUGGUCCAUCAACUGACAGCAUGAACUUCACGUCAAGAAGUGAGAUUGGUGAAUAAGUGAAGACAGAAGGAAAAUUGGAGAUACAGCUGGAUGUAUGAACCCUGCUCUGAAAACACUCUUUAACGAGUUGGGGUCUUGCUCUGUCGCUCAGGCUGGAGUGCAGUGGCAUGAUCAUGGGUCACUGCAGCCUUGAACUCCUGGGCUUAAGGGAUCUUCUCAUCUCAGUCUCCUAAAUAGCUGGGACUACAGGCUCAGGCCACCAUGCCUGUCCAGUGAUUCAAGUUUGACACACCACACCACGGUGGAUGUGCCUUGUCAUGACACAUCUCAGCAGCACUAGAAGAUACAUCCAAAGUCCUGUGAGCAAGGUCUGUGGUAUCUGUUUAUUAUGGCAGCCCAGUAAGACUAAGACAGGCCAUCACAAGACGUGAACGUUUUGGACCUUCUCUUGGGCCCUAGUAAACAGAAAUCAGGCUAUUUAUUAAACUAAUCCACGUUCUGAACAGUUAUUGCUACUGGAAACCAGUCCCGAUCCAGACCACAAAAGACGAUUCUUGGAUCUUGCACAAGAAAGAAAGGGAAGAUCUGGCAAGAGUUAGCGUGCAGUUCUACAUUGUGACAAUUCAUGAGAGCUAAGGACUGGCUGUCUCUUGGGACAAAUAGGCUUUCUUGAGUCUGGUAAGUGCUCCACUUGAUGCUUGCUUCCAUUUCUUAGAUUAGGUUCUACUGUGGUAAGGCCUCAAAAUCUCAGUGUCUUGCAGCAACACUGGUUCAUUUCCUGCUCACAUUACAUUUGGUCUAUGACGGUGACAAGUUCCAGGAUCCAGACUGAAGGAGCCACCCCCAUUUGGAAUAUGCUGUUCUUGUUGCAAACUGGGGGAAAAAGGCCAGAUAAGGAAUGGCUUUUAAUGCUUCCUCUCAGACUGUGUUAUGGUUUUUUUCUCACAUUCUAUUAGCCAAAGUAAAUCAGUGGCCAAGCUGACCUCAAUGGGACAAGUAAAUAUAAUUCUUCCAAAUGGAAGUCCUGCAAGUCAUAGGUCAAUGGUGAGGAUAUAUAAAACACUUACAGGAAGGGCCCUAAUAAUUGGGAGCAAAAACACAAUCCAUCGCAUUCAUUUAUACUCUUUCUAAGCUUUUGGCAUUUGGGUUUGGAAAUCUAAUUUAUUUAGGAGUCUUCUUCAACACCUUCUAGUGAUGAGAUUUCUUUAACCCAGUUUUCAGUUUCCUUUCUUUAAAAUUAUAAUGAGAUGUGAUGUGCGUUGAAGAAACCCCAGAAGUGAGAAACUCUCAUCACUACAAUGGUGAUGUAGACAGUGGAAAACUGUUCCCAGUUGCCUCUAAGUCCAUCGUGCUAUACUGCUGGAAUCAGGUAUCAUACAUAAUCUUUCUGCUGAGAAUUGAUAGGUCCAGCUUGUUCUACAUCCAAAUAAUAAUUCAACCAAUGAUUUGUGAGCACCUACCGGGCACUGUGCCAAGUGUGGAAGACACAACCUUCAGUAACUCAAGUUUCCCUUCAGGAACUGACAGCUUAAUUUGGAAACAAAUAAAUUAAGAAGGCAAUUGCAUUAUGGAGUGUCAAGUGGAUGAUAGUAGUAAGCAAAGGGUGUUAUAAGGGUACAUAAGAGGGGUACCUAACUCAGGGUUGAGGUUCUGGAAAGGUUUUCCAGAGCAAGCAAUGAGACCUAAAGGAUGAGUAGACAAGUCACGGGAGAAGUAAGAACAUUUUAAGCAGAGAAAACAGCAUGAGCAAUGGUCUGAUAUCAAGAAAGGCAGAGAUAGUGCAAGAAUACACAAUGUAGUAGUUUUCAAAACUGUUUGAAAUUUUAAUCUCACAUUUGUUCUUUUCAAUGUCUAGGAUAUCAAUUCAUUCUGCGAUUUACCUUUGUAAAGAUGAAUUUAGCCCUGGUUCUCUAUAUGAAUACUAGAGGAAGUAUAUUGAUAAAAGAAAAGGAACAAAUAUGUAGUCAUUUCUAAGAUUUAUUUUUAU
Long non-coding RNA from Homo sapiens (human), 2723 nucleotides. Ensembl annotates it as GUSB pseudogene 5. Its record names the gene GUSBP5. The record is from Ensembl. NCBI's taxonomy places the organism in Eukaryota, Metazoa, Chordata, Mammalia, Primates, Hominidae.